This 331-nucleotide long non-coding RNA is filed under the name Physcomitrium patens. Its description in RNAcentral is "long non-coding RNA (PPAT_LNC005910)". Lineage: Eukaryota; Viridiplantae; Streptophyta; Bryopsida; Funariales; Funariaceae. The record is from RNAcentral.
UGGUCUUAAGUUCUAAGGCACAUGAGUUACUAUAAAGAUAACCAUAGGAGCAACAAUAUUAGGAUCUACACAUCCUAUUUUACGAGAUCCAAAGGUAAAUGAUUUACCUCGCUUCACAAGCAUUUUUUUAAAAUAUUCAAUUUUUGUUGGAAAUAAGGAACCAUCACAUCCAAUCUUCAAUUCUUCAAAAGUCUCCUUUAUAAACUGAUGUCCAAUCUUCUUUGAAUCUCUUAAACUCUCUUCUUUUGAUACUUCUUCCAUUUGAUCCUUAGAAUCUUCUUGUAAAGGAUUGAUAAUAAGUUUUACCUUUUUAUCUACUGUUUUAUAUUUU